Molecule: transfer RNA, 73 nt
Filed under: Giardia muris
Lineage: Eukaryota; Fornicata; Diplomonadida; Hexamitidae
Description: tRNA-Tyr
Rfam family: tRNA
About the family: Transfer RNA (tRNA) molecules are approximately 80 nucleotides in length. Their secondary structure includes four short double-helical elements and three loops (D, anti-codon, and T loops).
Source: RNAcentral
CCCUACUUAGCUCAGUUGGUAGAGCGUUCGGCUGUAGACCGAACGGUCGCUGGUUCGAAUCCGGCAGUAGGGA